AAAGUCGUAACAAGGUUUCCGUAGGUGAACCUGCGGAAGGAUCAUUAACGAUUGACCUGAAAUAUGGACAAUUGAAUCCAUAUCCACCUUGUGUGCACCUAACGAAAGCGUGCUUUGGCAGGAGGAGUCUCGGCACCCGCGAGGGGGCUCGAGCGAGGGUCCCGUUUCCUUUCGAAACCACACCGAUUUCUUUAUUGGUGAGGAUUUCGGGAGGAAGGGGGAACCUCGGCCUGCCAGAGUUGUCGUUCCAACCCACGCCUUUAAACUCGUCCUGAACUUGAGAACUUUCGCUCCAACGCGAAAACGAUAUUAACGAAUAAAUAAAACUUUCAACAACGGAUCUCUUGGCUCUC
RNAcentral lists this unclassified non-coding RNA (353 nucleotides) under Basidiomycota sp. RNAcentral describes it as "partial contains small subunit ribosomal RNA, internal transcribed spacer 1, and 5.8S ribosomal RNA". The stretch from base 1 to 47 matches the Rfam family "Eukaryotic small subunit ribosomal RNA", at positions 1785 to 1831 of the family's 1831-position model. The record is from RNAcentral. Lineage: Eukaryota; Fungi; Basidiomycota.